RNAcentral lists this ribosomal RNA (600 nucleotides) under Salipiger thiooxidans. RNAcentral's name for it is "bacterial SSU rRNA". It matches the Rfam family "Bacterial small subunit ribosomal RNA", at positions 99 to 734 of the family's 1533-position model. The record is from RNAcentral. Lineage: Bacteria; Pseudomonadati; Pseudomonadota; Alphaproteobacteria; Rhodobacterales; Roseobacteraceae.
CGGACGGGUGAGUAACGCGUGGGAACGUGCCCUUCUCUGCGGAAUAGCCACUGGAAACGGUGAGUAAUACCGCAUACGCCCUUCGGGGGAAAGAUUUAUCGGAGAAGGAUCGGCCCGCGUUAGAUUAGGUAGUUGGUGGGGUAAUGGCCUACCAAGCCUACGAUCUAUAGCUGGUUUGAGAGGAUGAUCAGCCACACUGGGACUGAGACACGGCCCAGACUCCUACGGGAGGCAGCAGUGGGGAAUCUUAGACAAUGGGCGCAAGCCUGAUCUAGCCAUGCCGCGUGAGUGAUGAAGGCCUUAGGGUCGUAAAGCUCUUUCGCUGGGGAAGAUAAUGACUGUACCCAGUAAAGAAACCCCGGCUAACUCCGUGCCAGCAGCCGCGGUAAUACGGAGGGGGUUAGCGUUGUUCGGAAUUACUGGGCGUAAAGCGCGCGUAGGCGGAUCAGAAAGUUGGGGGUGAAAUCCCGGGGCUCAACCUCGGAACUGCCUCCAAAACUCCUGGUCUUGAGUUCGAGAGAGGUGAGUGGAAUUCCGAGUGUAGAGGUGAAAUUCGUAGAUAUUCGGAGGAACACCAGUGGCGAAGGCGGCUCACUGGCU